Molecule: ribosomal RNA, 253 nt
Filed under: uncultured bacterium
Lineage: Bacteria
Description: partial 16S ribosomal RNA
Rfam family: Bacterial small subunit ribosomal RNA
Source: RNAcentral
UACGUAGGGCGCGAGCGUUGUCCGGAAUUAUUGGGCGUAAAGAGCUCGUAGGUGGCUUGUUGCGUCUGCCGUGAAAGCCCGUGGCUUAACUACGGGUCUGCGGUGGAUACGGGCAGGCUAGAGGCUGGUAGGGGCAAGCGGAAUUCCUGGUGUAGCGGUGAAAUGCGCAGAUAUCAGGAGGAACACCGGUGGCGAAGGCGGCUUGCUGGGCCAGUUCUGACGCUGAGGAGCGAAAGCGUGGGGAGUGAACAGG